This 492-nucleotide ribosomal RNA is filed under the name uncultured bacterium. RNAcentral's name for it is "partial 16S ribosomal RNA". It matches the Rfam family "Bacterial small subunit ribosomal RNA", at positions 29 to 507 of the family's 1533-position model. The record is from RNAcentral.
AGUGAACGCUGGCGGUAGGCCUAACACAUGCAAGUCGAACGGCAGCACAGUAAGAGCUUGCUCUUACGGGUGGCGAGUGGCGGACGGGUGAGGAAUACAUCGUAAUCUACUUUUUCGUGGGGGAUAACGUAGGGAAACUUACGCUAAUACCGCAUACGACCUACGGGUGAAAGCAGGGGAUCUUCGGACCUUGCGCGAUUGAAUGAGCCGAUGUCGGAUUAGCUAGUUGGCGGGGUAAAGGCCCACCAAGGCGACGAUCCGUAGCUGGUCUGAGAGGAUGGUCGGCCGCCCGGGAACUGAGACACGGUCCAGACUCCUACGGGAGGCAGCAGUGGGGAAUAUUGGACAAUGGGCGCAAGCCUGAUCCAGCCAUACCGCGUGGGUGGAGAAGGCCUUCGGGUUGUAAAGCCCUUUUGUUGGGAAAGAAAAGCAGCAGGUUAAUACCCCGCUGUUCUGACGGUACCCAAAGAAUAAGCACCGGCUAACUUCGUG